This 236-nucleotide ribosomal RNA is filed under the name uncultured bacterium. Its description in RNAcentral is "partial 16S ribosomal RNA". It matches the Rfam family "Bacterial small subunit ribosomal RNA", at positions 100 to 334 of the family's 1533-position model. The record is from RNAcentral.
CCGGCACGGGUGAGUAACACGUAUCCAACCUGCCGUCUACUCUUGGACAGCCUUCUGAAAGGAAGAUUAAUACAAGAUGCAUCAUGAGUCCGCAUGUUCACAUGAUUAAAGGUAUUCCGGUAGACGAUGGGGAUGCGUUCCAUUAGAUAGUAGGCGGGGUAACGGCCCACCUAGUCUUCGAUGGAUAGGGGUUCUGAGAGGAAGGUCCCCCACAUUGGAACUGAGACACGGUCCAA